ACGAAGGGACCUAGCGUAGUUCGGAAUUACUGGGCUUAAAGAGUUCGUAGGUGGUUAAAAAAGUUGGUGGUGAAAUCCCAGAGCUUAACUCUGGAACUGCCAUCAAAACUUUUUAGCUAGAGUAUGAUAGAGGAAAGCAGAAUUUCUAGUGUAGAGGUGAAAUUCGUAGAUAUUAGAAAGAAUACCAAUUGCGAAGGCAGCUUUCUGGAUCAUUACUGACACUGAGGAACGAAAGCAUGGGUAGCGAAGAGGAUUAGAUACCCUCGUAGUCCAUGCCGUAAACGAUGUGUGUUAGACGUUGGAAAUUUAUUUUCAGUGUCGCAGCGAAAGCAAUAAACACACCGCCUGGGGAGUACGACCGCAAGGUUAAAACUCAAAUGAAUUGACGGGGACCCGCACAAGUAGUGGAGCAUGUGGUUUAAUUCGAAGAUACGCGCAGAACCUUACCAACACUUGACAUGUUCGUCGCGACUCUAAGAGAUUAGAGUUUUCGGUUCGGCCGGACGAAACACAGGUGCUGCAUGGCUGUCGUCAGCUCGUGUCGUGAGAUGUUGGGUUAAGUCCCGCAACGAGCGCAACCCUCACUUUUAGUUGCCAUCAUUUAGUUGGGCACUCUGGAAGAACUGCCAGUGAUAAGCUGGAGGAAGGUGGGGAUGACGUCAAGUCCUCAUGGCCCUUACGUGUUGGGCUACACACGUGCUACAAUGGCAUUUACAAUAGGAAGCAAAACGGUGACGUUAAGCAAAUCCUAAAAAAAUGCCUCAGUUCGGAUUGUACUCUGCAACUCGAGUACAUGAAGCUGGAAUUACUAGUAAUCGCGGAUCAGCGCGCCGCGGUGAAUACGUUCCCGGGUCUUGUACACACCGCCCGUCACACCAUGGGAGUUGGUUCUACCUUAAGGCAAAGCUUAAAAUCUUUGACCACGGUAUAGUCAGCGACUGGGGUGAAGUCGUAACAAGGUAACC
RNAcentral lists this ribosomal RNA (965 nucleotides) under uncultured bacterium. Its description in RNAcentral is "bacterial SSU rRNA". It matches the Rfam family "Bacterial small subunit ribosomal RNA", at positions 525 to 1501 of the family's 1533-position model. The record is from RNAcentral.